AAAAAAAAAAUGGAUGUGCUUAACACAUGCAAGUCGAGCGGAUCGAUGGAGCUUGCUCCCUGAGAUCAGCGGCGGACGGGUGAGUAACACGUGGGUAACCUGCCUGUAAGACUGGGAUAACUCCGGGAAACCGGGGCUAAUACCGGAUAAUUUAGUUCCUCGCAUGAGAACUGUUGAAAGGUGGCUUUUCGCUACCACUUACAGAUGGACCCGCGGCGCAUUAGCUAGUUGGUGAGGUAACGGCUCACCAAGGCAACGAUGCGUAGCGGGCAAAAAGAGGGUGAUCGCCACACUGGGACUGAGACACGGCCCAGACUCCUACGGGAGGCAGCAGUAGGGAAUCUUCCGCAAUGGACGAAAGUCUGACGGAGCAACGCCGCGUGAGUGAAGUAUUUUUCGGAUCGUAAACUCUGUUGUUAGGGAAGAACAAGUGCCGUCGAAUAGGGCGGCACUGAUCGUCUUCCAGGCC
This 469-nucleotide ribosomal RNA is filed under the name Bacillus sp. NJYRk. RNAcentral's name for it is "bacterial SSU rRNA". It matches the Rfam family "Bacterial small subunit ribosomal RNA", at positions 39 to 484 of the family's 1533-position model. Lineage: Bacteria; Bacillati; Bacillota; Bacilli; Caryophanales; Bacillaceae. The record is from RNAcentral.